This 465-nucleotide ribosomal RNA is filed under the name uncultured Gammaproteobacteria bacterium. Its description in RNAcentral is "bacterial SSU rRNA". It matches the Rfam family "Bacterial small subunit ribosomal RNA", at positions 338 to 795 of the family's 1533-position model. Lineage: Bacteria; Pseudomonadati; Pseudomonadota; Gammaproteobacteria. The record is from RNAcentral.
CCUACGGGUGGCAGCAGUGGGGAAUAUUGGACAAUGGGGGCAACCCUGAUCCAGCAAUGCCGCGUGUGUGAAGAAGGCCUGCGGGUUGUAAAGCACUUUGAGUAGGAAAGAAGGGCUGGAGGCUAAUACCCUUUGGCAUUGACGUUACCUACAGAACAAGCACCGGCUAACUCCGUGCCAGCAGCCGCGGUAAUACGGAGGGUGCGAGCGUUAAUCGGAAUUACUGGGCGUAAAGCGCGCGUAGGCGGUUUAGUCAGUCUGAUGUGAAAGCCCUGGGCUUAACCUGGGAACUGCAUUGGAUACUGCUAGGCUAGAGUGUGAUAGAGGGUAGUGGAAUUUCCGGUGUAGCAGUGAAAUGCGUAGAGAUCGGAAGGAACACCAGUGGCGAAGGCGGCUACCUGGGUCAACACUGACGCUGAGGUGCGAAAGCGUGGGGAGCAAACAGGAUUAGAUACCCGUGUAGUC